RNAcentral lists this transfer RNA (72 nucleotides) under Bos taurus (domestic cattle). It matches the Rfam family "tRNA". Rfam says of the family: Transfer RNA (tRNA) molecules are approximately 80 nucleotides in length. The record is from Rfam by way of RNAcentral. RNAcentral also lists the same sequence under 4 other names. Lineage: Eukaryota; Metazoa; Chordata; Mammalia; Artiodactyla; Bovidae.
UCCUUGGUAGCUCUGACGGUAAAGAAUCCGCCUGCAAUGCGGAAGGCCUGGGUUCGAUCCCUGGGUUGGGAA